UGGCACUGGGUGUAUUCCUAAACAGUGGCUUCCUGUUCUGCUCUUCAUGAGACCACCCUGAUAACACAGAACAGGACUGAAGUGUGAACUGGCAUAUCACCACCUGAAAGGCCCGAAAAAUUAGCAUAAAGCAGUGAAAAUUAUAAAGGCAAACUGUCUGACCACAGGAAGCUUGUAAAACAACGUCAGGACGUUCAAAGCACGACAAAAGGUGGAGAAAACAACUUUAAGAAACUCAGUCAAGAAUUACAAAUUAUAGGAAGAGUAAACACGAAAAAAAUGCAUUCCUCAUCCCAAUAUGGGGGAAAAAAGGCCAUCAGGCCUGCAAACUGUUGCCGAGACUACACGCUACGUAAUUUAGAAGAUAUCUAGUUUUCAUUUACAAGAAGGAAACUCCUCC
Molecule: long non-coding RNA, 400 nt
Organism: Pipra filicauda (Wire-tailed manakin)
Lineage: Eukaryota; Metazoa; Chordata; Aves; Passeriformes; Pipridae
Exons: 3
Source: RefSeq, a predicted model, not a curated record